GAUGAAGAACGUAGCGAAAUGCGAUACGUAAUGUGAAUUGCAGAAUUCAGUGAACCAUCGAAUCUUUGAACGCACAUUGCGCCCGGCAGUAAUCUGCCGGGCAUGCCUGUCCGAGCGUCAUUUCUAUCCUCGAGCGAGUCCAGCAUCUAGGUGCUGGGCCUCGCCCGGCGUUGGAGCACUACGGGAAGCCCUGUGCUGUCCCCCGUAGGCCCCGAAAUGAAGUGGCGGUCCUGCCGCGGCGCCCCCUGCGUAGUAUAACAGCUCGCUUCGGGACCCGGUGGAGGCCUGCCGUCAAACCUAUACUCUCUAAGUUUGACCUCGGAUCAGGUAGGGUUACCCGCUGAACUUAAGCAUAUCAAUAAGCGGAGGA
This 370-nucleotide unclassified non-coding RNA is filed under the name soil metagenome. RNAcentral's name for it is "partial contains 5.8S ribosomal RNA, internal transcribed spacer 2, and large subunit ribosomal RNA". The stretch from base 1 to 120 matches the Rfam family "5.8S ribosomal RNA", at positions 35 to 154 of the family's 154-position model. The record is from RNAcentral.